RNAcentral lists this unclassified non-coding RNA (578 nucleotides) under Homo sapiens (human). Its description in RNAcentral is "long intergenic non-protein coding RNA 3021 (ENSG00000282435.1)". The record is from RNAcentral. Lineage: Eukaryota; Metazoa; Chordata; Mammalia; Primates; Hominidae.
CUUCUGAUGUUCGGAUGUGUUCGGAGUUUCUUCCUUCUGGUGGGUUCGUGGUCUCGCUGGCUCGGGAGUGAAGCUGCAGACGUUUGCGGAACUCGUGAGUUAUGACAAAAAGAUAUUAUGACUCCCAUGCAGCGGAUGAAGACAUUGAUGCCCAUGAAAGGAGAUUCACAAGCCUCCCUCCCAGAUUCAGGGAAGGAGAUGCAGCCCCCACCCCUUGACUGGAGGAGGACCAAGGUCACCUUGCAGAGCACCGUGAGAUGUGGAAGAUGCCAGAACUGUCUGUGGGAAAUGGGAUUUGUACUUGGCUUGUCUGCCUCUUGCAACCAGAGUCCUGGUUCUCAGGGCCUCACCUGUGCAUCUCUUGUUGAGCACAGAGGAGGCACUCGGCAUAAAUGAAGAGGAUGCUUGCUGAGCUGGCUGGCCCAUCCUCUCUUCUUUCCCUUGUUUUUCUAUUUUAUCUUUCAAAGCAGUGUUUCAAGUGUUUAUAAACUAAUCUAUGUAUAAAAUAUUAUGUGGCAUAAGAUUUGCAAAAUAUUAAAGAUUUAAAGAAUCAAAUAAAAUAUUUGUAUGAUACCACA